This 251-nucleotide ribosomal RNA is filed under the name uncultured bacterium. RNAcentral describes it as "partial 16S ribosomal RNA". It matches the Rfam family "Bacterial small subunit ribosomal RNA", at positions 524 to 776 of the family's 1533-position model. The record is from RNAcentral.
UACGUAGGUCCCGAGCGUUGUCCGGAUUUAUUGGGCGUAAAGCGAGCGCAGGUGGUUUAUUAAGUCUGGUGUAAAAGGCAGUGGCUCAACCAUUGUAUGCAUUGGAAACUGGUAGACUUGAGUGCAGGAGAGGAGAGUGGAAUUCCAUGUGUAGCGGUGAAAUGCGUAGAUAUAUGGAGGAACACCGGUGGCGAAAGCGGCUCUCUGGCUGUAACUGACACUGAGGCUCGAAAGCGUGGGGAGCAAACAGG